Molecule: non-coding RNA, 478 nt
Organism: Oryctolagus cuniculus (rabbit)
Lineage: Eukaryota; Metazoa; Chordata; Mammalia; Lagomorpha; Leporidae
Source: RefSeq, a predicted model, not a curated record
GGGGCCCUGCAGCGGCAGCGGGGGCGACCUCCUCAUCAGCGAGCAGCACCUAGAAGGGAAGCAGAGGCAAGGAAGCUCUCGCGGGCCAACCGUCACCGGGCAGGGCACAAAAGCAGGACCACACAGGAUACAAGCUUCAGAUGUGGAUGUCACCCUACGUUGCAAAUGAUAGGAUCAGUGCCCACAGGGACAGGGGAGAAGGGCAGAUUGCACUGUCGCUGAACUCAUCACCGCCCAGUUCAUAAGACCUCAGGACCAAGACUUGGAACCCCUAUCUCCUGACUACAAGAAUGCGCUACCCUCAACGUGCUAAGGUGGUUGUGAAAUCUGAGGAAUGUAGUUUCGGCUUUAAAAGAGUGCUUUGUUGAGUCUAACAAAUACUUGGAAUACUCUGCCAGUAAGUCAAGUCGUAUAAUUCUACUUCAAGGUACUUUCAAAGACAGAAUUGGCUCUUUUACAAAACCUUCCAUCGCCCUAC